GACGAACGCUGGCGGCGUGCUUAACACAUGCAAGUCGAACGAAGAGCGAUGGAAGCUUGCUUCUAUCAAUCUUAGUGGCGAACGGGUGAGUAACGCGUAAUCAACCUGCCCUUCAGAGGGGGACAACAGUUGGAAACGACUGCUAAUACCGCAUACGAUCUAAUCUCGGCAUCGAGGAUAGAUGAUAGGUGGCCUCUACAUGUAAGCUAUCACUGAAGGAGGGGAUUGCGUCUGAUUAGCUAGUUGGAGGGGUAACGGCCCACCAAGGCGAUGAUCAGUAGCCGGUCUGAGAGGAUGAACGGCCAAAUUGGGACUGAGACACGGCCCAGACUCCUACGGGAGGAAGCAGUGGGGAAUCUUCCGCAAUGGACGAAAGUCUGACGGAGCAACGCCGCGUGAGUGAUGACGGCCUUCGGGUUGUAAAGCUCUGUUAAUCGGGACGAAAGGCAUUCUUGCGAAUAGUGAGAAGGAUUGACGGUACCGGAAUAGAAAGCCACGGCUAACUACGUG
This 510-nucleotide ribosomal RNA is filed under the name uncultured bacterium. RNAcentral describes it as "partial 16S ribosomal RNA". It matches the Rfam family "Bacterial small subunit ribosomal RNA", at positions 28 to 507 of the family's 1533-position model. The record is from RNAcentral.